ACGGCUCAGUAACACGUGGAUAACCUGCCCUUGGGUCCGGCAUAACCCCGGGAAACUGGGGAUAAUUCCGGAUAACGCAUAUAUGCUGGAAUGCUUUAUGCGUCAAAUGGAUUCGUCUGCCCAAGGAUGGGUCUGCGGCCUAUCAGGUAGUAGUGGGUGUAAUGUACCUACUAGCCAACAACGGGUACGGGUUGUGAGAGCAAGAGCCCGGAGAUGGAUUCUGAGACAUGAAUCCAGGCCCUACGGGGCGCAGCAGGCGCGAAAACUUUACAAUGCGGGAAACCGUGAUAAGGGGACACCGAGUGCCAGCAUCAUAUGCUGGCUGUCCAGGUGUGUAAAAUACACCUGUUAGCAAGGGCCGGGCAAGACCGGUGCCAGCCGCCGCGGUAACACCGGCGGCCCGAGUGGUGAUCGUGAUUAUUGGGUCUAAAGGGUCCGUAGCCGGUUUGGUCAGUCCUCCGGGAAAUCUGAUAGCUCAACUAUUAGGCUUUCGGGGGAUACUGCCAGGCUUGGAACCGGGAGAGGUAAGAGGUACUACAGGGGUAGGAGUGAAAUCUUGUAAUCCCUGUGGGACCACCUGUGGCGAAGGCGUCUUACCAGAACGGGUUCGACGGUGAGGGACGAAAGCUGGGGGCACGAACCGGAUUAGAUACCCGGGUAGUCCCAGCCGUAAACGAUGCCCGCUAGGUGUCAGGCAUGGCGCGACCGUGUCUGGUGCCGCAGGGAAGCCGUGAAGCGAGCCACCUGGGAAGUACGGCCGCAAGGCUGAAACUUAAAGGAAUUGGCGGGGGAGCAC
This 796-nucleotide ribosomal RNA is filed under the name uncultured archaeon. RNAcentral describes it as "bacterial SSU rRNA". It matches the Rfam family "Archaeal small subunit ribosomal RNA", at positions 85 to 879 of the family's 1478-position model. The record is from RNAcentral.